GUGGUUUCUAUGAUUCUAUCUAUUUUCGAAAUUUGUGAUUUGGUUAUUUUGUUUUGUCCUCUGAUCUUAAAACAUGAAAUCGAACCGUACUUGUUAUUUAAAAACAAUGAAAUUAAUAUCGUUCAUAUAUCAUAUGAUAAUACGAACUGCUUUCAAUUUCGAUGGCCAAGGAGGGUAUUGGCCUAAUGAGUUCAUAUAAAGUGAUAAAAAGCCUGCGGCGAUUUUAAGAUAUUAAGCUCGUGGCGAGAUUUGUUCGACUCCGAUCCUAAUCGACAGUUAUUGCAAAUAUUUCAACUUAAGGUCGCCUGAUGUCCGGCUUCUCCUACCUAUGAUGAGAGGUCAAUAAAAUACAACAAAUGCCGUUUAUACAUGUACAUGAUGUAGUGGUGUUUAACACCAAAACAAAGAACAAAUUUUUAGAAAUAACUUGAAAAUACAUAUAUGUAU
This 447-nucleotide long non-coding RNA is filed under the name Mytilus galloprovincialis (Mediterranean mussel). Lineage: Eukaryota; Metazoa; Mollusca; Bivalvia; Mytilida; Mytilidae. The record is from RNAcentral.